Molecule: small RNA, 120 nt
Filed under: Salmonella enterica
Lineage: Bacteria; Pseudomonadati; Pseudomonadota; Gammaproteobacteria; Enterobacterales; Enterobacteriaceae
Description: RtT sRNA
Rfam family: RtT RNA
About the family: This family represents a bacterial cis-regulatory element known as RtT RNA. The exact function of RtT is unknown although it is thought that it may be involved in changing the cellular response in relation to amino acid starvation.
Source: RNAcentral
UGUAUCUGAAGUCUGACGAGGAUGAGAACCUCCGGAGGGCAAAAGGUUCGACCCGAGCGAAGCGAGAAAAUGUUGCGUCAGCAACGGCCCGCAGGGCGAGCCAUCCUCUAUCACCGGCAG